Molecule: ribosomal RNA, 833 nt
Filed under: uncultured Caldilinea sp.
Lineage: Bacteria; Bacillati; Chloroflexota; Caldilineae; Caldilineales; Caldilineaceae
Description: bacterial SSU rRNA
Rfam family: Bacterial small subunit ribosomal RNA
Source: RNAcentral
UGCAAGUCGAACGUGAAGAGAUAGCAAUAUCUCUGAAAGUGGCGGACGGGUGAGUAACACGUGGGUGACCUGCCUCGGAGCGGGGGAUAACCAUGGGAAACUGUGGCUAAUACCGCAUGGUCCUAUAACAAUGGGAAUUGUAAUAGGUAAAGCUCUGGCACUCCGAGAGGGGCCUGCGUCCGAUUAGGUAGUUGGUGGGGUAAUGGCCUACCAAGCCGAUGAUCGGUAGCUGGUCUGAGAGGACGAUCAGCCACACGGGAACUGAGAUACGGUCCCGACUCCUACGGGGGGCAGCAGUGAGGAAUAUUGGGCAAUGGGCGCAAGCCUGACCCAGCAACGCCGCGUGGAGGAUGAAGGUCCUUGGAUUGUAAACUCCUUUUAUGGGGGAAGAGACAGGACGGUACCCCAAGAAUAAGUCACGGCUAACUACGUGCCAGCAGCCGCGGUAAUACGUAGGUGACAAGCGUUAUCCGGAAUUACUGGGCGUAAAGCGCACGCAGGCGGCCUAUUAAGUCUGACGUGAAAUCUCUCGGCUUAACCGAGAGAGGUCGUUGGAAACUGAUUGGCUUGAGGUAAUGAGAGGGGUGUGGAAUUCCCGGUGUAGUGGUGGAAUGCGUAGAUAUCGGGAGGAACAUCAGUGGCGAAAGCGGCACCCUGGCAUUUGCCUGACGCUCAUGUGCGAAAGCGUGGGGAGCGAACGGGAUUAGAUACCCCGGUAGUCCACGCUGUAAACGAUGAAUACUAGGUGUGGGUGGUCUCAAAUCGUCCGUGCCGAAGCAAACGCGAUAAGUAUUCCGCCUGGGGAGUACGGCCGCAGGGCUAAAACUCAAAGA